UUUUCAUGAGAGUUUGAUCCUGGCUCAGGACGAACGCGGGCGGCGUGCCUAAUACAUGCAAGUCGAACGAGAGCGACCGGUGCUUGCACUGGUCAAUCUAGUGGCGAACGGGUGAGUAACACGUGGGUAACCUGCCCAUCAGAGGGGGAUAACAUUCGGAAACGGAUGCUAAAACCGCAUAGGUCCUUUAAC
Molecule: ribosomal RNA, 192 nt
Filed under: Streptococcus sp.
Lineage: Bacteria; Bacillati; Bacillota; Bacilli; Lactobacillales; Streptococcaceae
Description: partial 16S ribosomal RNA
Rfam family: Bacterial small subunit ribosomal RNA
Source: RNAcentral